AUGGUCUUUGAUACAGAUGAUGCAGCUUACACCUUUUACAAUGAGUAUUCCUCAAUUGAUGGUUUUUCUGUGAAGAAGGCAACUCGCUUAUGUGGCAAGAAACAAGGAGGCAGUGCACCAACUCAGGUAACUUUCAAGUGCAAUCGGUCAGGAAGAGUAAUUGACAAAGAAGAACAAGAGAAUAGGAGGAAGAAACAAUGUGACACAAGGCAAUACAAGACAAGACAAGAGCCAUAUCAGAAUGCAAGGAAGAAAAAACCAAACACCAUUGCAAUAACAGGGUGUAAAGCUCAACUCAUUGUCACCAAGAAGGAUGAGAAGUGGGUGAUAACAACCAUAAACCUAGAACACAACCAUGAUUUGAGUCCUCACACAGAAGUGAAAUACCUUCAUUCUCAUAAGCACAUGACAGAGGAGGAGAAGCUCCUAAUUCGAGCAUUCAAUGUUGUGAAGCUACCAACAAGAAAAAUAAUGGCAAUCCUAAGUUACUUGAGAGGUGGAAACACUCCUUAUACCAAAAAGCAUGUCAGCAAUGUUAGGCCAGCCAUUGGCAAAGAGAGCAAUCAAAAUGGCAUGAUGUAGGUGCUAACAUAUUUCAGGAAGAAACAAGCUGAAGAUCCACAAUGUUACUAUGCGUUCAAGACAACUAAAGUCUCUAAUGAAGCAAGUAAAGUUUUGUGCAUUAUCUGGGCUGACACGUAUUCUAGGAAAAUGUACGAGCUGUACGGAGACUGCCUCAGCUUUGACACAACAUUUGAGACAAACGGAUACAACCUUCCAUUUGCUCCCUUUGUUGGAAUCACAGGACAUGGCCAAAACUGUUUGUUUGCUUGCUCUAUCAUUGAGAAUGAAACAGCUGACACCUUCCAAUGGUUGUUUGAGACGUUCUUGCAUUGCAUGGGUGGCAAAUCUCCAUCCACAAUCAUCACGGAUGAGGAUUCUGGGAUGAAGACAGCUAUCCCUCUAGUUUUCCCCCAUAUCUGCCACAUACGAUGUUUGUUUCAUAUUAAAAAAAAGGCUGAGGAAAAAUGUACUAGGACUUUUGCGGCAAAUAAAACCCUGCGUGAUGAUUUCAGUGACAUCAUACACAACACUAUGGUGGCUGAGUUUGAGAACUUGUGGACAGAUAUGUUGCAGAAAUACAACAUUGGGCAUGUGAAGUAUUUCCAAAUCAUGUGGAAGAAAAGGAAAAGGUUUGUUCCUGUGUAUUUCAAGAAGAACUUCUCCCCUUCAUUCACUCUGCUGCACGUAGUGAAGGCACCAAUGCCAUUUUCAAGGACAACAUCAUGUCAACUCACAACGUGA
Molecule: ribosomal RNA, 1305 nt
Filed under: Triticum aestivum (bread wheat)
Lineage: Eukaryota; Viridiplantae; Streptophyta; Magnoliopsida; Poales; Poaceae
Description: partial small subunit ribosomal RNA
Source: RNAcentral